RNAcentral lists this ribosomal RNA (693 nucleotides) under Pseudomonas sp. Wr1A01. RNAcentral's name for it is "bacterial SSU rRNA". It matches the Rfam family "Bacterial small subunit ribosomal RNA", at positions 62 to 750 of the family's 1533-position model. The record is from RNAcentral. Lineage: Bacteria; Pseudomonadati; Pseudomonadota; Gammaproteobacteria; Pseudomonadales; Pseudomonadaceae.
UCGAGCGGUAGAGAGAAGCUUGCUUCUCUUGAGAGCGGCGGACGGGUGAGUAAUGACUAGGAAUCUGCCUGGUAGUGGGGGAUAACGUUCGGAAACGGACGCUAAUACCGCAUACGUCCUACGGGAGAAAGCAGGGGACCUUCGGGCCUUGCGCUAUCAGAUGAGCCUAGGUCGGAUUAGCUAGUUGGUGAGGUAAUGGCUCACCAAGGCGACGAUCCGUAACUGGUCUGAGAGGAUGAUCAGUCACACUGGAACUGAGACACGGUCCAGACUCCUACGGGAGGCAGCAGUGGGGAAUAUUGGACAAUGGGCGAAAGCCUGAUCCAGCCAUGCCGCGUGUGUGAAGAAGGUCUUCGGAUUGUAAAGCACUUUAAGUUGGGAGGAAGGGUUGUAGAUUAAUACUCUGCAAUUUUGACGUUACCGACAGAAUAAGCACCGGCUAACUCUGUGCCAGCAGCCGCGGUAAUACAGAGGGUGCAAGCGUUAAUCGGAAUUACUGGGCGUAAAGCGCGCGUAGGUGGUUUGUUAAGUUGGAUGUGAAAUCCCCGGGCUCAACCUGGGAACUGCACUCAAAACUGACUGACUAGAGUAUGGUAGAGGGUGGUGGAAUUUCCUGUGUAGCGGUGAAAUGCGUAGAUAUAGGAAGGGACACCAGUGCCGAAGGCGACCACCUGGACUAAUACUGACACUGAG